GUCUCUCAUGUGUGGUACAUUUCGCAUACACUGCUGUCACAUAAGCCGGUGUAUCUAAUAUUGUAAGAGUUAUUUUACAUGUCACAUGCUGAUCUGAAUCUUCUAAUAUAUUCACCGAUAUAUCUGAUGACCAAAACAACCAAACUUUGUUGUUGCAAUUGAUGUAAUAGUGUUGUACACCCAAUUAUAGUUUGUAGUGUUCAAUUUUUAUAGACCUUACCAUUGGAUCUUGUAACACAAUAAAAGGUAUUUUGUAUUGUAUUUGUAAAGUUUUAAGUCUUUCAAAAUCUUGUUGGGACUCCAUGCCCCUAAUGUUCCAUGGAAUUGUGUUAAUCAUUGGAAACAUUAGGGGUGAGGUCCAUUUUGCUCUAGCUUGUAGCUUUAGGUAAUGGUCCUUUCAUUCCAUCCCUUUGGCUAUGAUAACCCCCGGGGGAGAGGUUAUUGAAUUGUAAUUUUUUUCUCUUACUCCAGUUCCUACUGCCUCUUCAUUCGUUGAGGUCUUCAUAUAUUCUCAUCAUCCGAUCCGAUUUCCCCUUCCUCUUCGGUUAGGUUAACCAUUUCAGUGUCUUGUGUUUUUGAGACCUUCUCGUGAUCUGUAUUAUAUGUGCCUUGCCGCACUUUCAUGUGUGAAAGUUCCUCCCCCCCCCCCCCCCCCCCCGAGAUUUGGGUUGGGGAUUUUCCUGGGGUAAGCUGUUGCACUUCAAUUGCAAAAGCCGUAUUUAGUCCAACCUUACCUUUCUCCCCUUUCACUCCCACUGUUCUUAAGUUUAGGGUUGGAAAUUAGUCGCCACCAUUUAAUUUUGGACUAAUAUCAAACUCUGGUAAGUUCUUUUGAGGAGGGAUCUUGGAUUGGAACCUCUUCUUCUUCUUCUUCUUCCUUGUAGCGAUUUUCUUCACUUGAUCCUCCUUGACAUUUAUCAGCCUUUGGUCUGCACUAAGGGCUUGAUCUUCAAGUUGAUCCGCUACUAGUGUAGCCUUUUUCUUUGUCUUUUUCCCUUUCAUAGUCACUCCAGUCUUGCUCUUAUUCUUUUUUCCUUUUCUCGCCUUUUUUCCUCUUUGUUGCUCGUCACUCUGUUGUGCCUCAGUCGGUUUUCUGAUUUUCUCUAAGGUUUUUCUCUACAUCCAUUAUUUUUGAGUGAACACUGAUUUCAGUAAGGCUCUUUUCCAUUAGCUGUUCAUCUACCAUAUUGACCUUGGCCACUGAACCUGAUGGAUUGGUUUUCUUAGUGCUCCUGUUAUUUAGCUCCCCAUUCCUGGAAUUUUCUUUAGCCUUUUUCCUGUUGUUCUUUGAGUUCUUUACUUCAGUCCAUCCACCCUCAUCCUCGUCCAUAAUAUUCUCAGUUUGUUUGGUUUUCUGUUUAUCAGUUGUCCCUGGUUCUUCGCCCUUUGGCUGUUGUAUCCUACAAAUCGCGUCUGAAUGACCCUGAAUUUGACAGUGGAAGAAAAACUCUGAGAUAUACUCAUACUCGAUUAGUUGAUUGAAUAUGUCUAGUUCACCAUUACCAUCCACAAGCUCCACUUCUACUUCCUUCAAAUUUGGUUUUGAUAAGUCAAUCUCCACUCGAGCUUUCGCCGGAGUUGGCCUUGUUCUUGCCAUCGAAGCCUUGUCUAGAGCUAUUAGGGGACCAAUGGGCUCCAGAAUUCUUUCCAUUACUGCCUAGUCAUGGUAAUGUCAUGGUAAUUCGGGGAGCGUCACCCAAACCGGAGCCAAGGUUGACUGCAUAUCCACUUUGAAGUUCCUGGUCCAUCGUUGAAUUCUCAUGGUGGUGCCACAAAUCUGUAUUGGACGUCUACCAUAGAACCUUUUGAAAUCCUCUUCUUCCGUGAAAUCGAUGAACACAUGCCUCCAGUCAUAGGCCCUAAUUUUGAUCGAUCCUUUCAGGGGAUAAGUUCUUUUGAAAUCAUCCCUUAUUUUGUCAAUUUGGGGACGGUAUCGAGAGAAUUUUCCAACAAUUGUCCACUUGCACUUUUUAGCCAGUAAUUCAUCUCUCUUUCGAGAAGACUACUCUCGCUUUCCCGUCAAUUAGUUCAUAAGGCUUGUGUUCUAAUCGUACAUUCUUUCUGCAUGGCCCAUUGAAUUUUCCUUCAACAGCCGCAACAAAAUUGAAUUGUGUUGAAUUGUUUUCUCACUGUUCUUGUUUGGGGUAGCUAGGCGCAUCCCCUACUGUUCGUCAGUGGCAAUAUGGCUGGUCAGAGCCGCCUUAGUGGGUAGGGGAAGGAAUUUGGGUUCAUUGUUCUGUAGGGGGAAGAAUGGUCAAUUUCUUGGUACAAUAAAUCUGAAUGUCAGCCACUCAUAAGGUUUUGAAGAGUGCCAGGAGAACUACUUUUACCAGCAGAAAAAUUUGGAAUGCAAGAGUAACUUAUAAGUUUUUUUUUGUUGCAGUUAUUGAAAUACAGAAUCCCUACUGAUGAAGUCAUUAGGAGGUUUGUAUUUAACGGCCCUAGCAUGUGCUAUUGUUGUAGAGCUCCUCUAGAAGACACCAUUGAACACAUCUUUUCCUCUAGCUCGAAGGCCAAAGUUGUCUGGCAGUUUUUUUGGUAGCCACUUGGUAGGGGAAUUUGUAGCCGAACCCUAUAUUUGUUCCACCUUU
This 2591-nucleotide long non-coding RNA is filed under the name Nicotiana tabacum (common tobacco). RNAcentral describes it as "long non-coding RNA (NTAB_LNC009205)". The record is from RNAcentral. Lineage: Eukaryota; Viridiplantae; Streptophyta; Magnoliopsida; Solanales; Solanaceae.